CCUACGGGAGGCAGCAGUAAGGAAUAUUGGUCAAUGGGCGCAAGCCUGAACCAGCCAUGCCGCGUGCAGGAAGACGGCCCUAUGGGUUGUAAACUGCUUUUGAACAAGAGAAAACCUCGGUACGUGUACCGAGCUGAUAGUAUUGUUAGAAUAAGCAUCGGCUAACUUCGUGCCAGCAGCCGCGGUAAGACGAAGGAUGCAAGCGUUAUCCGGAUUCAUUGGGUUUAAAGGGUGCGUAGGCGGCCUGAUAAGUCAGUGGUGAAAUCUCGCAGCUUAACUGAGAAACUGCCAUUGAUACUGUCGGGCUUGAGUACAGAUGAUGUGGGCGGAAUAUGACAUGUAGUGGUGAAAUACUUAGAUAUGUCAUAGAACACCGAUUGCGAAGGCAGCUCACAAAACUGUAACUGACGCUGAGGCACGAAAGUGGNGGAGUACAACAGAUAGUAUACCUACGUAGUCGCACCGUAACGAUAGAUACUCGUUGUUGUGAUAUGACGUCG
Molecule: ribosomal RNA, 500 nt
Filed under: uncultured bacterium
Lineage: Bacteria
Description: bacterial SSU rRNA
Rfam family: Bacterial small subunit ribosomal RNA
Source: RNAcentral